UACGUAGGGUGCGAGCGUUGUCCGGAAUUAUUGGGCGUAAAGCGCUCGUAGGCGGUUUGUUGCGUCUAUCGUGAAAACCUGCAGCUUAACUGUGGGCUUGCGGUGGAUACGGGCAGACUUGAGUUCGGUAGGGGAGAAUGGAAUUCCUGGUGUAGCGGUGGAAUGCGCAGAUAUCAGGAGGAACACCGAUGGCGAAGGCAGUUCUCUGGGCCGUAACUGACGCUGAGGAGCGAAAGCGUGGGGAGCGAACAGG
RNAcentral lists this ribosomal RNA (253 nucleotides) under uncultured bacterium. RNAcentral's name for it is "partial 16S ribosomal RNA". It matches the Rfam family "Bacterial small subunit ribosomal RNA", at positions 524 to 776 of the family's 1533-position model. The record is from RNAcentral.